AUUGCUUCUCGGCCUUUUGGCUAAGAUCAAGUGUAGUAUCUGUUCGUAACAGUUUAAUAAAUGAGAAAGUAAUCAAAUGAAUAUUUGGGAAUAUCCCCCAAAACAUACAACUUGAU
Small nuclear RNA from Cricetulus griseus (Chinese hamster), 116 nucleotides. Its record names the gene U2. It matches the Rfam family "U2 spliceosomal RNA". From Rfam's summary of the family: U2 is a small nuclear RNA (snRNA) component of the spliceosome (involved in pre-mRNA splicing). NCBI's taxonomy places the organism in Eukaryota, Metazoa, Chordata, Mammalia, Rodentia, Cricetidae. The record is from Ensembl.